This is a small nucleolar RNA of Cavia porcellus (domestic guinea pig), 212 nucleotides long. RefSeq annotates it as small nucleolar RNA U3. The record is from RefSeq and is a predicted model, not a curated record. Lineage: Eukaryota; Metazoa; Chordata; Mammalia; Rodentia; Caviidae. The transcript has a single exon.
AAAGCUAUACUUUCAGGGGUCACUUCCAUAGUCUGUUACUAGAGAAGCUUCUCUAAUCCUGUACAGUAUUAGCAACCAUGAGGAGGAAGCAUAGUAUUCCGUCCUGAGCGUGAAGCUCUUCGUGUGCUUGAGUGCAGCUGCCACUUGCCACUGAUGAUCAUUCUUGCUGUCUCCUUGGAAGGAGCAAGAGGGGAGAAACACAAUCGAGUGGU